AGAAUCAACGCUGGCGGCGUGCCUAACACAUGCAAGUCGAACGAGAAAGUGGAGCAAUCCAUGAGUAAAGUGGCGCACGGGUGAGUAACACGUGACUAACCUACCCUGGAGUGGGGGAUAACUGAGGGAAACCUUAGCUAAUACCGCAUAACACCUACGGGUCAAAGGAGCAAUUCGCUUCAGGAGGGGGUCGCGGCCGAUUAGUUAGUUGGCGGGGUAAUGGCCCACCAAGACAGUGAUCGGUA
Molecule: ribosomal RNA, 245 nt
Filed under: uncultured bacterium
Lineage: Bacteria
Description: partial small subunit ribosomal RNA
Rfam family: Bacterial small subunit ribosomal RNA
Source: RNAcentral